GAUGAACGCUGGCGGCGUGCCUAAUACAUGCAAGUCGAGCGAACAGACGAGGAGCUUGCUCCUCUGACGUUAGCGGCGGACGGGUGAGUAACACGUGGAUAACCUACCUAUAAGACUGGGAUAACUUCGGGACACCGGAGCUAAUACCGGAUAAUAUAUUGAACCGCAUGGUUCAAUAGUGAAAGACGGUUUUGCUGUCACUUAUAGAUGGAUCCGCGCCGCAUUAGCUAGUUGGUAAGGUAACGGCUUACCAAGGCAACGAUGCGUAGCCGACCUGAGAGGGGGAGCGGCCACACUGGAACUGAGACACGGUCCAGACUCCUACGGGAGGCAGCAGUAGGGAAUCUUCCGCAAUGGGCGAAAGCUUGACGGAGCAACGCCGCGUGAGUGAUGAAGGGCUUCGGAUCGUAAAACUCUGUUAUUAGGGAAGAACAAAUGUGUAAGUAACUAUGCACGUCUUGACGGUACCUAAUCAGAAAGCCACGGCUAACUACGUG
RNAcentral lists this ribosomal RNA (497 nucleotides) under uncultured bacterium. Its description in RNAcentral is "partial 16S ribosomal RNA". It matches the Rfam family "Bacterial small subunit ribosomal RNA", at positions 28 to 507 of the family's 1533-position model. The record is from RNAcentral.